UAGCGAAGCUCUUGAUCGAAGCCCGAGUAAACGGCGGCCGUAACUAUAACGGUCCUAAGGUAGCGAAAUUCCUUGUCGGUUAAAUACCGACCUGCAUGAAUGGCGUAACGAGAUGGGAGCUGUCUCAAAGAGGGAUCCAGUGAAAUUGUAGUGGAGGUGAAAAUUCCUCCUACCCGCGGCAAGACGGAAAGACCCCGUGGACCUUUACUACAGCUUGACACUGCUACUUGGAUAAGAAUGUGCAGGAUAGGUGGGAGGCUUUGAGUAUAUGACGCCAGUUGUAUAUGAGCCAUUGUUGAGAUACCACUCUUUCUUAUUUGGGUAGCUAACCAGCUUGAGUUAUCCUCAAGUGGGACAAUGUCUGGUGGGUAGUUUGACUGGGGCGGUCGCCUACCAAAUAAUAACGGAGGCUUACAAAGGUUGGCUCAGAACGGUUGGAAAUCG
Molecule: ribosomal RNA, 444 nt
Filed under: Campylobacter jejuni
Lineage: Bacteria; Pseudomonadati; Campylobacterota; Epsilonproteobacteria; Campylobacterales; Campylobacteraceae
Description: bacterial LSU rRNA
Rfam family: Bacterial large subunit ribosomal RNA
Source: RNAcentral